This 20-nucleotide small nuclear RNA is filed under the name Arabidopsis thaliana (thale cress). RNAcentral describes it as "snRNA_14644". Lineage: Eukaryota; Viridiplantae; Streptophyta; Magnoliopsida; Brassicales; Brassicaceae. The record is from RNAcentral.
GAAAUCCGCUAAGGAGUGUG